UUUUUUUUUUUUUUUUUUUUUUGCUUUUUAGGGCUGCGCCUGCGCAGCACAUGGAAAUCCCCAGGCUAGGGGUCAAAUUAGAGCUAUAGCGGCUGGCCUACACCACAGCCACAGCAACACCAGAUACAAGCUGCGUCUGUGACCUACAACACAGCACACAGCCACUUGGGAUCCCCGACCCACUAAAGCGGAGGCCAGGGAUCAAACCCGAAUCCUCAUGGAUACUAGCUGGGUUUGUUUCCACUGAGCCACGACAGGAACUCUCAGAACUGGCAUUUCUAAUCUCUUCACUUGACUCUGCCCCAGCCUCCAGGGACAAGGACGUCACUUUUUUCCUAUUUUGGUGUUGGGCUGUUCCAGAUGCUUAGGUCUUUAAAAUCUCCAGAAGAGCCUCUCAUUCUGUCUCCACAUUCCAGUGUCUCCCAGGCCCGGCCUGCAGCUCAGGCACCUAAGUUCUCCUAAGCAGGACCCUUGGAGGCUGCUUUCUGGCCCUGGGCCUCCCUGCCCAGCUGGGUGACAGGCCUGCAGCCCCAGCCACAAGACAGCAAGGCACAGGCAGCUGGGUGAUGGCUGGGCACCUGGGAGGAUCUUUGCCUGCAGAGCCAGGUCUGGUGUGGCGGCACGGCCCCUGUAAUUAGUGCUGUUUUGGAGCCAGCUGGAGCGUUCCUUCCCUCUGAACCCCCUUUCUCCUUUACAUUUGCACAGGGCUUCGGGACCCGCCAUUCUCCCUCCCACCCACAUUCCCAGGAGGCUCCUGAGCCCCAUAUGGUGAAGCUUGUCUCUUUUAUUUUUAUUUAUGUAUUUAUUUUGGGUCUCUCUUAUAUCCUUAUGUUGGUGGGUGUUUGUGGCACAGGCAGAAAUCCUGUCUGCUGGCAGGGAGGGGUCUCUGAGGGGCGCUGGACCCCCAGUGGCAGCUGUCUGCUGCCUCCCUGCCUGGGGCAGAACACCUGCCUGGACAAUUUCAUGCAGGCGUCUUUCACCAGAAUCCUUUAGCACACUUUAAGGGCUAAUGGACUUUUUGUCAUGUUCCCUGGAGAAUUUUUCAGCCCCUGGGGAAGGGUGCUUCAUUGGCUGGGUUGCCCAGGUGUGGCCACCGCAGUCCUGUAGCCCUGGAUUUCAAGGGUGCCUGUUAGCCUCCUAACUAUGGGCUUCCUGGGCUGGGGUGGGCUGGGGUGGGCUGGGUGGGCAGGAGUAGGGUUAUCCCCUCCCAGCAAGUCCUCAUCCUGACUCCUCAGACACGCAGACUUUAGUCAGAAUGUGGUUUACAUUCUCAUUAAACUGGGAGCUGCUUACUUUCCAAUGAAGUAAGCAUCCUGAUCAUUUCCAUAUUACCACCCUUAACAUUUGAUUAUAUUUCCCUCUGAUCUUUUUUCUUUUAAUGUGCAUAGGUUCUUAAAAAAAAUAGUUGUAAUCUGACCGAUUACAUACUUCUGUAUGCAGCUUUUUCAUGUAACACUGCAGAAUGAGCAUUUUUAAUGACAUGGUGUGGUUUUAAGACAUUUUCAAGGGCCCUACUGUUGCUUCCUUGUGCAGUCCCUAUUGUUGACACACACCUCCCCCCCUUGCCCCCUCCCCAGCUGGUCUUUAUUUUAAGCCUUAGAACUUUAUGGAGCGUGACAGUCAGGAGCCAUUGUUGGGGUUGUAUUGGUGUAAUAUUAAUCCAGAGUUGCCAGGGUGCUGGGAGGAGGGGCCUGGCUGUGGUUCAGGUCAGCGGCCAAUGGGACAGCGGCUCCCAGCAUGGCCUCAUCAGGCCUCAGCACCAUAGUCCUUGAAGUGGGGCAUUCAUUCGAGAGGCCCUUGGCUGUUUCAAGAAGCUUCUGUGGCUUAUGCAGGGGUGAGGGAAUGGGGCACAGGUUCACCUUGGCUCUCAAGGCCCAUCGGCGUACCAGCUGAGUUUCAUUUCCAGCCUUGGGCCUGGCAUGAUGGCCCAGGUGCCAGGAGCGUGCACCUGUGACCCAGCUCCGUCUCCUCCCUUGAGCUGUUGGGUUUUUGGACUCUUGCUCUAUCCCACAGACAGGGCCUUCGCCCAAAGGCCCCUGGUACACACCUGGAGUCCUCAGGGGUAGUUCACCCUUCCCCAGAGGGCCAGGGGACUGCAGGGGCCUUGGCUUAGCCACCCUAAAUGUCAGGACAGACACCAGCCUUUUCUCCCACACUCUCUCUCUCUUUUUUUUUUUUUUUUUUUUUUUUUUGCUGCGCCCAUGGCCUGGGGAAGUUCCCUGGCCAGGGACUGAACCUGCACUAUAGCAGGGACAACACUGGAUCCUUAACCACUAGGUCACGAGAGAACCCCCUCCCAGUAUUUCUUAAUUACACUUCUGGUGAUGAUAACGAUUAAUAAUAAUUAAUAAUAAUUAUAACGCUAAUAAGCAUUAUCCCUUGUUCUUGGAGACCCAAUGCCACUUUCAGUUCUGUUGAUUUACACCCUUUCCUCUUUCUUGUGGAAGGUAAGUUGAGGCAGCAAGAGAUUUAAGAGGAGUUCCCGUUGUGGCGCGGUGGCUAACAAAUCCGACUAGGAUCCAUGAGGAUGUGGGUUCGAUCCCUGGCCGCGUUCAAUGGGUUAAGGAUCUGGCGUUGCCAUGAGCUGUGGUGUAGGUCGCAGAUGCAGCUCAGAUCCCGAGUUGCUGGGGCUGUGGUGUAGGCCGGCGGCUACAGCUCCUAUUUGAACCCCUAGCCUGGGAACCUCCAUAUGCUGCGGGUGCUGCCCUAGGGGAAAAAAAAAAAAAAAAAAGAGAAAAAAAAAAAGAUUUAGGAGUUUUGAGCAGCAAUGUGAGGAAGGAGAAAGGAUUAGCCAGGCUUGGGUUCCAGUCCUGGCUCUGUGCUCUGUAAAUUCCAUUAUCACUUAUCCCCUGAGCCUCCGUUUCCUCGUCUAUACAAGGAAAGCAGUGAGGCCUGACUUGCAAAGUUGAUGGGUGGAGCAAAUCAGUGUUUCUGUAAAAUUCUCUGGCACAUAGUAGGUGCCCAGUCAGUAUUGUCUGGCUGAUGUUGUUCCGGGUCACCAAAUGCACCGACCUUCAAAGCCAGAGGGACUUGCCUGCCCAGUCCCUUCCCUGCUCACAUGUCCCUUCCACUAAGCGCUCACCUAGCCAGCUCCGGGCAGGAAGCUUCCCUGCUUGGCUGAUCAGAGGCGUCUGGCUGAUCAGAGCUGCAGUUGGUUGCAGCUCAUUCUGGAUGGGACAUCCUGCCAAGUCAGGCCAUGUUCUCCUACACUUUGCUAAUCCGAGUGAAAGUAACUAGGGCCCUUUCCUUCUGGCCUUUCCCCUGGACAUCGUCGAGAGGGCCACUGCACGGGAACGCAGGGUGCGGUGUCAUGAGUCAUUUGCUGGUGUGUCUUUGUGGCCACACUUGUCUGCAGGCUUUUGCUAGAACAGCCCCCACCCCCACCCCUGGGCCCCGUCGCCAAAAUAACCCAACAACAUCAAGCCAAAGAGAGAGUCAUCUGGGGACAGGCUCUUGUUCUGAGUCCUUGGGCCCCAGUCUGAGGUCACAGAGUAGGCUGUCUGCUUCCAGGAGGCAGUGGGCUCCAGCCUGGCGAAACAGAGCUGGCCUUUGAGACUUCCCGAGAAGAAUCUUAGAAACUUUCCAGCCAUCUGCCCAAUACCUUGAGUUUUGGGUACCAUUCCUCUUGAGGCCAUGAACCAAUAGCGUUGGUGUCAGCUGGGGGCUGGUUGAAAAUGUAGACUCUGAGACCUCAUAACAAAACUACUGAGUCAGAACUUACAUUUUAGGAGUUCCUGUUGUGGCUCAGAGGGUUAAGAACCCGACUAGUAUCCUGAGGAUGUGGGUUCUAUCCCUGGCCUCCCUCACUCAGUGGGUUAAGAUCUGGUGGCACCGAAAGCUUCAGCAUAGAUUGCAGAUGCGGCUCAAGAUCCUACAUUGCUGUGGCUGUGCUGGAGGCCGGCAGCUGCUGCUCCAAUUUGACUCCUGGCCUCGGAACCUCCCUAUGCUGCAAGUGCAACCCUAAAAAAAAAGAACUUACAUUUCAGCAAGACGGCUAAGAGUUUUGGGUGCUCGUUAAAGGUUGAGAAGCACAGAUUGGGGUUUAGAUCACGGUUCUCAACCACAGACACACAUUAGAAUCACCUUGAAAAACUGUAAAAACUGUGCUGGUUCCCUAGGUCCUAAUCCAGACCACUGAGUCAGAAUCACUGGGGAUAAGAUCUGAUCAUAUGGAAGUUCCCAGGCUAGGGGUUGACUCAGAGCUGCUGCUGCUGGCCUGUGCCACAGCCACCACCAUGUAGGAUCUAAGCUAUGUCUGCAACCUUCAUAGCAGCUCACAGCAACGCCAGAUCCUUAACCCGCUGAACGGGGCCAGGGAUCGAACCUGUGUCCUCUUGGAUGCUAGUUGGGUUUGUUACGGCUGAGGCAUAAUGGGAACUCCCAGACCCUUGGCUUUGGGCUGGAUGGCCCUGAAUGAGAUGAUCAGAUGGUAAUAGUUGCUGUGUAUUGAGCUCCUACUUACAUGAAAGGCUUUUAUCUAGAAUCUUCUUUCCAAACCUGAAAAGUGCCAGGCCUCUCACUGUCUUACAUGAGAAAACUGAGGCUCGGAGAGGUGAAGCUAGGCGCCUAAGGCUGUAUACGUAUUGGAACUGGAACUGUCUGCCUGGAAGCUUCUUUUGCCAUUACCUCAUAGUGACUGGAGAUUGUAAGGUUUGGAAGGUCCUGGUUCUCGUUGGAAAAUCUGGCAGGGGAUUCUUUUCUGGCUCGGUGUCCAUGGUACCUUCAGACUGUGUGGUUUUAGGACCGUUCAGUUGGAGGAGAAGGACAGCAGCUUUCCAUCUUCAGCUUCAUGUAUCUCUUAGACUGAGGGGCUGGGGUGUGUGUAUGGGGGUGAGGUCAGUGACAGACAAGUGGCACAUGAAUAAUGGAAAAGUCUUCAGGAGAAGGAGGAAUUUCCAAAGGUCACAGAGACUCCGACUCAGCUGUAUUCAUUUCAAGCUGGCUUUGCCCGAGUCGCUUUAUCCCUGUGGCCCCAGGCUCCCUUCUUCCCCUGGAAGAACUCGGGGGUGGGGGUGGGGGGAGCACUCUUGCUGCUCUUUCUGGUUCUGCAAAUCUGGGUUCUAAGAUCAAAGUGGGGAAACUAAGGCAUCAGCCAGAAUGAGCCAAACAUAGACCCCUGGAGCAGCUGGGCGGCAGCAUGGGGCCAGGUGUGGGUGAGUGGGAGGCACAAAAAGCCUGGCAGAGCGGAACAUCUGUGCCCGAACAGAAAGCACACAGAGCCCCGAGACCCAGAAAACCCGGCCAGGAGCACAGCGAACGGGAGAGACACCGAGAAACAGCCCUUUCUUUGCGUGUCUUGAACCACGUCCAAACCUAACUUUUAAGUUCGAAUAAGGAUUUGAAAAUCAGCCCGGGGCUCCCACGGACUCUAAAUCCAGGUUGCUGUGUGUGUGUCUUCCUUAUAAAGUCAUGGGCUGUCUGUGUUUGCGAAUGGAAUGAGUGAGGGGGAAUGUUUGGCUGCUCUCUUUCCUCACUUUUCCUUUCAAGACUCAUAGCACCCCACCCUUCACACGGGGCCUCUGGUGCAUUUCGGUUGGCCUCUGAGCCCCUGCAGUGUGGCUGGAAGGGUGUGCGGGGCAACCCCCAUUUAUAGUGGGGGAAACACAGGCUCACAGGUGCCAAGCGAGAGCGCUGGAGGCCCAAAGCCAGUUAGGGGCAGAACCUGGCCUUGAAUCUGGGUCUUUUCUUUUCAGCUGUGCCUGAGGCAUACAAAAAUUCGUGGGCCAGGGCUCAAACCUGUGCCACAACCAUGACAAUGCCGGGUCCUUAACCUGCUGGGCCACCAGGGAACUCUCCCCCCUGCUUUUAUUUUGUUCUUUUUGGGAAUCCAGGUCUUUUGAUUCUAAGCCCAGCCCUUCUUUCCUCCAAUGGGACUUCCCCAGGGAUCCCCUUUCUGGCCUUCUGGGGAACUGUCAGUAGCCUCUGAUAGAUGUAGCUCAUGAAGUACCAUCCAUUUCCAAUGAUCUGGAUUAUGUUCUAAAAUAUGCUUUUCGGACUUCCCGUCAUGGCGCAGUGGUUAACGAACCUGACUAGGAACCAUGAGGUCGCGGGUUCGAUCCUUGGCCUUGCUCAGUGGGUUGAGGAUCUGGCGUUGCCGUGAGCUGUGGUGUAGGUUGCAGACGCGGCUCAGAUCCUGUGUUGCUGUAGGCCGAUGGCUACAGCUCCGAUUAGACCCCUAGCCUGGGAACCUC
This 6191-nucleotide long non-coding RNA is filed under the name Sus scrofa (pig). RNAcentral's name for it is "lncRNA (ENSSSCG00000060678.1)". The record is from RNAcentral. Lineage: Eukaryota; Metazoa; Chordata; Mammalia; Artiodactyla; Suidae.